ACCCGCACAAGCAGCGGAGCGUGUGGUUUAAUUCGUUGCUACACGAAGAACCUUACCUGGGUUUGACAUAUAGGUUGUAGGGAACUGAAAGGGACCGACCCUUCGGGGAGCCUAUACAGGUGUUGCAUGGCUGUCGUCAGCUCGUGUCGUGAGAUGUUCGGUUAAGUCCGCUAACGAGCGCAACCCUCGUCGUAUGUUAUAUGUGUCAUACGAGACUGCCGGUAAAAAGCCGGAGGAAGGUGAGGAUGAUGUCAAGUCAGCAUGACCUUUAUAUCCAGGGCUACACACACGCUACAAUGGUCUGUACAAUGGGUAGCCAAGCCGCGAGGCGGAGCCAAUCCUGAAAGCAGGCCUCAGUUCAGAUUGCAGUCUGCAACUCGACUGCAUGAAGCCGGAGUUGCUAGUAACCGCAGGUCAGCAAUACUGCGGUGAAUACGUUCCCGGGUCUU
This 449-nucleotide ribosomal RNA is filed under the name uncultured Anaerolineaceae bacterium. Its description in RNAcentral is "bacterial SSU rRNA". It matches the Rfam family "Bacterial small subunit ribosomal RNA", at positions 919 to 1382 of the family's 1533-position model. The record is from RNAcentral. Lineage: Bacteria; Bacillati; Chloroflexota; Anaerolineae; Anaerolineales; Anaerolineaceae.